This 877-nucleotide ribosomal RNA is filed under the name uncultured bacterium. Its description in RNAcentral is "bacterial SSU rRNA". It matches the Rfam family "Bacterial small subunit ribosomal RNA", at positions 56 to 932 of the family's 1533-position model. The record is from RNAcentral.
UGCAGUCGAGGGGCAGCGUAGAUUGCUUGCAAUCUGACGGCGACCGGCGAACGGGUGCGUAACGCGUAUAGAAUCUGCCUUGUACAGGAGGAUAGCCUUUAGAAAUGAAGAUUAAUACUCCAUAAUGCUAAGAGAUGGCAUCAUUUUUUAGUUAAAGAUUUAUCGGUACAAGAUGACUAUGCGUCCUAUUAGCUAGAUGGUAAGGUAACGGCUUACCAUGGCAACGAUAGGUAGGGGGUCUGAGAAGAUUAUCCCCCACACUGGUACUGAGACACGGACCAGACUCCUACGGGAGGCAGCAGUGAGGAAUAUUGGUCAAUGGGCGCAAGCCUGAACCAGCCAUGCCGCGUGCAGGAUGACUGCCCUAUGGGUUGUAAACUGCUUUUAUACAGGAAGAAACAGUCCCUCGUGAGGGGCCUUGACGGUACUGUAAGAAUAAGCACCGGCUAACUCCGUGCCAGCAGCCGCGGUAAUACGGAGGGUGCAAGCGUUAUCCGGAAUCAUUGGGUUUAAAGGGUCCGCAGGCGGUCAAUUAAGUCAGAGGUGAAAUCCUACAGCUUAACUGUAGAACUGCCUUUGAUACUGGUUGACUUGAGUUAUACGGAAGUAGGUAGAAUGUGUAGUGUAGCGGUGAAAUGCAUAGAUAUUACACAGAAUACCGAUUACGAAGGCAGCCUACUACGUAUAUACUGACGCUCAUGGACGAAAGCGUGGGGAGCGAACAGGAUUAGAUACCCUGGUAGUCCACGCCGUAAACGAUGGACACUAGUUGUUGGGCGUAAGCUCAGUGACUAAGCGAAAGUGAUAAGUGUCCCACCUGGGGAGUACGAUCGCAAGAUUGAAACUCAAAGGAAUUGANNGGGGCCCNCACAAGCGG